This is an RNA transcript of Glycine soja, 1918 nucleotides long. It is a transcript of the gene named TBC1 domain family member 22B-like, with no coding region annotated. Lineage: Eukaryota; Viridiplantae; Streptophyta; Magnoliopsida; Fabales; Fabaceae. The record is from RefSeq and is a predicted model, not a curated record. The transcript is spliced from 10 exons.
UGAAACGAAUGCGCGAAAAGGUGCUGUCGGAAAAGAAUUAUCAAAUUAUACAACGCGAUUAGGAGGAAUUAAAGAAAUACAAAGCUUAGCGACGUGGGUUUCUUCCAUAAUUAAGCAUGAUUAGUGGAACAGAGAAUGUUAUUUUGGCGGUAAUAGAUUAGAGGCUGAAUGAUGAUGGAUGAAUGAGUGUUAGUUUCAGCAAUUUGACUAUCUUCCGUAAGCAAAGAGCAGUAGCUGAAACAAACAACGAACGAUCACUGUAAGCAUGAACAAGCGCCAAGAAGAUGUGCGCAACAUAGCUACUACCCUCGACUCCAGAUUCAAUCAGACCCUCAGAAAUGUUCAAGGGUUACUCAAAGGUCGUAGUAUACCCGGUAAAAUAUUAUUGAGCCGUAGGGUAGACCCUCCGGAUAACUCAAACUCGAAGGUAUCCUCACCAAAUUACAAAAGGAGCUUUUCUCACAAUGAUGCUGGCACAAGUGAUCACACAUCUGGGGCAGUAGAGGAGGAAUUUCAGAGUACAAGCAAACCAAUUAGUAUUGCCAAUGCCAGUAAGCUAAAAGUGUCGACCUCCCUUGGAGGGAGCCCGCCUGAAGAAUUCCGUAAGUCUACGAUGGGUGCUAGAGCUACAGAUUCUGCAAGAGUUAUGAAGUUCACUAAGGUGCUUUCAGGGACUGUGGUUAUAUUAGACAAGUUGCGGGAAUUAGCUUGGAGUGGUGUUCCAGACAAUAUGCGUCCUAAAGUGUGGAGACUUCUGUUGGGAUAUGCACCACCUAAUUCAGAUAGAAGGGAGGGAGUUCUAAGAAGGAAACGCCUUGAGUAUCUUGACUGUAUUUCUCAGUAUUAUGAUAUUCCUGAUACAGAACGUUCAGAUGACGAGGUCAACAUGCUUCGUCAGAUUGGUGUUGAUUGUCCAAGAACUGUUCCCGAUGUUCCAUUCUUCCAGCAGCAGCAAGUUCAGAAAUCAUUGGAACGUAUUCUUUAUGCAUGGGCCAUUCGACAUCCUGCAAGUGGAUAUGUUCAGGGGAUAAAUGAUCUUGUUACACCAUUUUUGGUUGUUUUCUUAUCAGAAUAUUUUGAAGGGGAUAUCAAUAAUUGGUCAAUGUCUGAUUUAUCUUCAGAUAUAAUCUCUAAUAUAGAGGCUGACUGCUACUGGUGCUUGUCAAAGUUGCUUGAUGGUAUGCAAGACCAUUACACAUUCGCUCAACCUGGAAUUCAGAGGCUUGUUUUUAAGUUGAAGGAAUUGGUCAGGAGGAUUGAUGUGAAACUUUUGAGCUGCACCAGAGCCUGUUUCGCGGCACAUCGAGGAUCAGGGACUUGAAUUUCUUCAGUUUGCUUUCCGCUGGUUCAACUGUCUUCUCAUCCGUGAGAUACCAUUCCAUCUCAUCACACGCCUUUGGGACACAUAUUUAGCUGAAGGAGAUGCCUUACCAGACUUCCUAGUAUAUAUAUUUGCCAGCUUCCUUCUAACGUGGUCAGACAAACUCCAGAAACUUGAUUUCCAAGAAUUGGUAAUGUUUCUUCAACACCUUCCAACAGAGAACUGGACUCACCAGGAGCUUGAGAUGGUGCUUUCCCGGGCAUUUAUGUGGCACACCAUGUUCAACAACUCUCCUAGCCAUUUAGCUAGCUGAGCAGGCGAUUGUGGUUUCUGAAUUUAGUUCUCCUUCAAUUUCCCCUUUUCUUUUCUUGCUUUCUAUCACUUUUGCUCUUGCUCAGUGUGUGGUGCUUUUUGUUAUUUUUUUUAACCAAUUUUACUUGUACGUUACCUUGUAAUAUUUUGUAAAGGAGAUACAAAAACAAUUGUUACAUAGAGCGAGUCUAUUUUUGUUGUAUUAACGAUAUUUAUUCCAGAACAGCGAUCAAUACCCAGUUUGUGUAUGCAAUUUUUUUAUGAUGGAUUCUUAUUCGAGCGUUA